Bolinopsis microptera is the source of this 589-nucleotide long non-coding RNA. RefSeq lists it as uncharacterized. The record is from RefSeq and is a predicted model, not a curated record. The transcript has 2 exons. Lineage: Eukaryota; Metazoa; Ctenophora; Tentaculata; Lobata; Bolinopsidae.
UCCAGUAAGCGUCAUGAUGAGAUCAACACUGUUCCUGGUACUACUUGUAGUCGCGGCAAACAGCUGCAAGGACAAUUAUAAGAAAGGUAGCUGCUUGAGCCGGAGGAAGAAGGGACUAUGCGGAGGGGAACAAACUCUCAUUAACUGCCAGAAAACUUGCAAUAACUGUCCCCCUCCCCCUCCCCCUGUCCUUGCUGAUGUCCUUCUUGCAGCUCCUGCUGGUGCUCCUGCUGAUGCUCCUCAUGCCCUCUUUGAUGCGGAUUGCACAGACUUGUUGGGAUCGAGCUAUUGUGGAGUGAAAACACAUCGUGGAGAAUGUUACGCUAAAGGUAAUAAUGUUCAACGGUACUGCAGAAAGACAUGCAAGCUUUGUUAGUGAGUUUCAGAGGAAAGCUUUGCCAGUGAGUUUAAGAGGAAAGCUUUGCCAGUGAGUUUAAGAGGAAAGCUUUGCCAGUGAGUUUAAGAGGAAAGCUUUGUUAGUGAUUUGAAGAGGGAAGAAGGAUGAUAAACAUUACAUAGACCUUGUGUAAAGGCGGUGCUAAAAAUUCAACAAUUAAUAAUUAUUGUUCUUACUUUUUUCUGCAUGACA